AAGUGAAGAAAAACCAGCAGUUAUUCCAAGUACACCGUUAAGUUUAUUACCAUUUAUAUCAAAGAUUAAUGAGCAGUAGACAUCUGAUUUAGAAACACCUCAAAUGAAUAAAAGUUUUCCUAUAAAAUCAUCAGAAAGUAUCGAACAAACUGUUUAUUUAAAAGAAUGUACUCCAAAUAAUUCUUAUUUUAAGAAUAUAUUUGAUGAAUUUACUUCAAAGUCUACUGUGAUAAAUUAUACAAGAAUGAGAGGAAGAACUAAAAGGAAAAUUUAUAAGAAUACUUUUGCUAACAUGAACGUCGUUAAAAUUGAAUUGAAUAAUCAAGAUAGUGAAAAUGAUAUAGUAGCUAUAGAUACAUGCAGUGAUAAAGAAAAGAAAAAUAUUCUUCUGAAAAUUAAUAGCGCACAAGAUUUUUUCUCUGAUGUUUGAUUGCUAGCGUAAAUCAAAUUUGUGCUAGUACUUCGCUGCAAAAAUGAUAUGCAUAACGUUGAAAGUAUGAAUAAAAAUAGGCGCUUCAAAGAAGUAUUAGUAGAUAAUAUUACAGUAUUAAAAACACAUUAUAAAGUAGGAAAAAAUGAAUGUAAUGAAAAGAAAAUAUUUAAUAAUGAUAGUAGAAUAACAUUAGAUGUAUCAAUAAAUAUUAUAGGAUUUACUAUAACAAAUGGAACUCGUAAAUGUAUCAGAGUCUGCUAUAACAAAAGCAAAAUCUUUUCUGGAAAUAGAUGACAUUGUAUCUUUAACGAA
Molecule: long non-coding RNA, 745 nt
Filed under: Polistes fuscatus (common paper wasp)
Lineage: Eukaryota; Metazoa; Arthropoda; Insecta; Hymenoptera; Vespidae
Description: uncharacterized LOC122522358
Source: RNAcentral